GGCGUGCCUAAUACAUGCAAGUCGAGCGAAUCUGAGGGAGCUUGCUCCCAAAGAUUAGCGGCGGACGGGUGAGUAACACGUGGGCAACCUGCCUGUAAGACUGGGAUAACUCCGGGAAACCGGGGCUAAUACCGGAUAAUAUCUAUUUAUACAUAUAAUUAGAUUGAAAGAUGGUUCUGCUAUCACUUACAGAUGGGCCCGCGGCGCAUUAGCUAGUUGGUGAGGUAACGGCUCACCAAGGCGACGAUGCGUAGCCGACCUGAGAGGGUGAUCGGCCACACUGGGACUGAGACACGGCCCAGACUCCUACGGGAGGCAGCAGUAGGGAAUCUUCCGCAAUGGACGAAAGUCUGACGGAGCAACGCCGCGUGAGUGAUGAAGGUUUUCGGAUCGUAAAACUCUGUUGUUAGGGAAGAACAAGUACCGGAGUAACUGCCGGUACCUUGACGGUACCUAACCAGAAAGCCACGGCUAACUACGUGCCAGCAGCCGCGGUAAUACGUAGGUGGCAAGCGUUGUCCGGAAUUAUUGGGCGUAAAGCGCGCGCAGGCGGUUCCUUAAGUCUGAUGUGAAAGCCCACGGCUCAACCGUGGAGGGUCAUUGGAAACUGGGGAACUUGAGUGCAGAAGAGGAAAGUGGAAUUCCAAGUGUAGCGGUGAAAUGCGUAGAGAUUUGGAGGAACACCAGUGGCGAAGGCGACUUUCUGGUCUGUAACUG
Molecule: ribosomal RNA, 717 nt
Filed under: Bacillus sp. (in: firmicutes)
Lineage: Bacteria; Bacillati; Bacillota; Bacilli; Caryophanales; Bacillaceae
Description: bacterial SSU rRNA
Rfam family: Bacterial small subunit ribosomal RNA
Source: RNAcentral